UCAGAACGAACGCUGGCGGCAAGCUUAACACAUGCAAGUCGAACGGAUUGUUAUCAUAGCUUGCUAUGAUAACAAUUAGUGGCAGACGGGUGAGUAAUGCAUAGGAAUCUACCUAGUAGUAUGGGAUAGCCACUAGAAAUGGUGGGUAAUACUGUAUAAUCCCUGCGGGGGAAAGAUUUAUCGCUAUUAGAUGAGCCUAUGUUAGAUUAGCUAGUUGGUAGGGUAAAGGCCUACCAAGGCAGUGAUCUAUAGCUGGUCUGAGAGGAUGAUCAGCCACACUGGAACUGAGAUACGGUCCAGACUCCUACGGGAGGCAGCAGUGGGGAAUAUUGGACAAUGGGCGCAAGCCUGAUCCAGCUAUGCCGC
RNAcentral lists this ribosomal RNA (366 nucleotides) under Candidatus Anaplasma camelii. Its description in RNAcentral is "bacterial SSU rRNA". It matches the Rfam family "Bacterial small subunit ribosomal RNA", at positions 24 to 400 of the family's 1533-position model. The record is from RNAcentral. Lineage: Bacteria; Pseudomonadati; Pseudomonadota; Alphaproteobacteria; Rickettsiales; Anaplasmataceae.